UUUAUAUCAAUUUUAUAAAAUAAUAAUAUUUUAACAAAUUUAUAUUUUUAAUAACUGCAAUAGCUAGAGGAAAAAGUGGCAGAAAAAAAAAAAAAAAAAAAAAAAAAAAAAAAGUAAUUUACAACAGAUAAUAAUGAAUUUAUUUAAAAGUAAAUCAAAUAAAGCAAAUUCUAUAUCUCAUGUUUUGAUAAGUAAGAUAUAAAUUUAUGAAAUAAAGGAAUUAAUAUAUGAAUGAUAAACAUAAGUCCCGGUUUCCUGAACCGGGGAUAAGCAUAAGACAGUUGGAAGAAAAAGAUAUAGAUGAAGUAAGACAAUUAUUACACGACCAUUUUAAUUCUCUUACUCUACCUGCAGUUUUAUAUUGGACUAUACAACAUAUUUAUGAUCUAUUAGUUAUUAUUGUCAUUAAUUAUAUUUUCUUUUUAGACUUAAAAAAAAUAAUAUAUUUUCUUAUAAUAUUUUUAAUAUAUUUAUAUAUAAGAGCUAAGCUUGAAUUUUUAAAUCAUAUAAGAAAAGAAUGUCCUGAUUUGGAUAAUUUAUAUAAAAGUUAUAUAAAUGUAGAUGGGUGUAAUUUUUGGGUUGCUGAGGUUUUUGAUAAUAAUGUAGGUUCUGCUAGUAGAACGACUUGUAGUGAUAUACAUGAAAGAGAUAAAAUUAUAUUAGAACACGAAGAAUACGAAAAUACAAAUAUAAAUGAUAAAAUUAAUGCAUUAAAUAAAAGUGUAAAUGAUGAUUUUAAAAAAAUUAGUAUGAUAAAAAAUGAAGAAGAUACAAAUAAGUAUAAUAUAUUAACAAAUGACAAUUUAUGUUUACAAAAUUAUAAAAAUGAAUUGGACCGGAGUAAUAUUACAUCAUCACUUAACCAUGACAAUCAUAUUGACAAUCAUAUUGACAAUCAUAUUGACAAUCAUANNNNNNNNNNAAUCAUAUUGACAAUCAUAUUGACAAUCAUAUUGACAAUCAUAUUGAUAAUCAUAUUGAUAAUCAUAUUGAUAAUAAUAAAAACAAUAGUGGUACUAAUAAUAUAAAUAAUUUAAACAAUAAUAAUAACAACAUAAAAAAAAGUAACGAUAAAAAUAACAAUGAUGUGUGUCAUAAUACCGUUACGUACUACAAUAAUAAACAUCAUGGAAAUAGUAGUAAUGAAAAAAAU
Molecule: long non-coding RNA, 1153 nt
Filed under: Piliocolobus tephrosceles (Ugandan red Colobus)
Lineage: Eukaryota; Metazoa; Chordata; Mammalia; Primates; Cercopithecidae
Description: lncRNA (ENSPTEG00000005387.1)
Source: RNAcentral